RNAcentral lists this ribosomal RNA (520 nucleotides) under uncultured Glomus. RNAcentral's name for it is "SSU rRNA". It matches the Rfam family "Eukaryotic small subunit ribosomal RNA", at positions 569 to 1091 of the family's 1831-position model. The record is from RNAcentral. Lineage: Eukaryota; Fungi; Glomeromycota; Glomeromycetes; Glomerales; Glomeraceae.
AGCAGCCGCGGUAAUUCCAGCUCCAAUAGCGUAUAUUAAAGUUGUUGCAGUUAAAAGCUCGUAGUUGAAUUUCGGGAUCAAUCUGCCGGUCGUGCCUCCGGUAUGCACUGGUUUUAUUGGUUUCUCCCUUCUGACGAAUCAUGAUGUCAUUAAUUUGGUGUCAUGGGGAAUCAGGACUGUUACUUUGAAAAAAUUAGAGUGUUUAAAGCAGGCUCACGCUUGAAUACAUUAGCAUGAAAUAAUGAAAUAGGACGUUUGACCCUAUUUUGUUGGUUUCUAGGAUCGACGUAAUGAUUAAUAGGGAUAGUUGGGGGCAUUAGUAUUCAAUUGUCAGAGGUGAAAUUCUUGGAUUUAUUGAAGACUAACUACUGCGAAAGCAUUUGCCAAGGAUGUUUUCAUUAAUCAAGAACGAAAGUUAGGGGAUCGAAGACGAUCAGAUACCGUCGUAGUCUUAACCAUAAACUAUGCCAACUAGGGAUCGGAUGAUGUUAUUUUUUUAAUGACUCAUUCGGCACCUUAC